AGCAGGGUUGUUCUCCCUCUAGUGGUUUCGCUCUCUCUCCGUGAUUUACCCUCAAGACACCACAGUGUAAGUGCACUAAAGUCUUAGCCAACGCCCCGCACACUCACGCUUUCCAGUCCGCAGACUCCACACUCAGGAAGUUCACGAAGAAGUUGGAAGCUGCGUCAGAUAUAAACUACGUUUAAAUCUUUAGUCACGGUGUCUUUUCACAGAAUCGUGUUUGUGAACGUUUGCUGAUACAGACGCUAGGCUUCAUAAGAAAGCGUUACUUCACAGGGAAACAUCUGCAGAAUGGCAGAAACCGAGGGAAGUCCGUUUGUAGGCUGUUUGGAGAAACUGAAGAGCUAUGUGCGAACUCGGAAAGGAACCAUCCUGGCCGCUGAAAUAAUCCUCAGUUUCAUCAUCCUUAUCUGUUACGCCGCAUCUAUGUAUGGCGGGUAUUCAGCGGUCGCCAUCUGCGAGAUGGUCUUUGCCAUCAUCUUCUUCGUUGUCUUCAUGAUGGAGCUGGACAAACAGUUUCUGGUGGUGAACUGGCUCUGGAGCGAUUUCAUCCGCGCUGCAAUCGGUGCAGCGCUUUAUCUCAUAACCUCUCUGAUCUGUGUGAUCGGCGGGGCUGGAGACGGGGCUCGCAUCGCUGGUGGGGUGUUUGGUCUGCUGGCUGGGAUCUUGUUUGCUUAUGAUUCCUACACUAUUUUCAUGGACAUCAAGAGCAACAGACAGCAUACAGCUGCUCCCACAGAUGCUCUGCAGUGAAUGGGUGCCAUCAGAAUGGGAGUCCAAACAGCUGAUAAAAACAUCUCAAUAAACCACAAAUGACACAGUUUGAAACUACUUUCCUCGCUACAACAUUAACAGCAACCAAAACCUGGAGAACAAGUCUAAAAAUGGCAAAAGGAGUGAAUUCCUCAGAGUUAUCGCAAAGUUACCGUGAGAGAUGAAGACCAGAGGAAUGCAGAAGGGACAAAACAUUACACAACAAAAGAGGUUCAUGUACAAAAGGGAUUGAAAAUGAAGGAACAGAAAGCUGUCGGCAUCCAAAGAUUCAUUCCGUCAUCUUAGUCAGGCGGCUUUCAUUACCACAAUUUUUUUGUUGGAAAAGCACUAAAUCACAACAUUUAGUAACAUCAGAUAAAUCUGACGACAUGAAUACAGUGUUCAGAAGGGUUUCAAAGUCUGUCUUCCCAUUCUUUACUAGAGAAAGACACGUUUUGACCAAGUCAUUAUUAGCAAGUUCUGUUGGAAAACUUGAUUUCAUUCAGUCUGGUGCUGUUUUUUUAUGAUAAAACAUUAAGGUUGCUUAAGUUUUUUAUGGUGUAAAAUUUCACCAUACUUCGUAACUGUAACUAAAUUCUAAUAACUAUUGAUUGUUCUUGUGUUUUGUUUAAACUAAGUUUUUUUAAACUAAGGAUUUGAAGUCGGAUAUAUUCAACUCAGGAGCAGUCAAGAAAAAGCCAGUUUUCAGUGAAUCUAAAGGGAUUUUCUCUUUAUUUAAACUGAAAAGGAAUGAAUCUCAGCCAUAAUAUCUUCCAUGGUGGCACACAUUUGUACUAUUAAAAAGUUCAGAUGUCCACGUGUUGGUGCAUGUUCAUUUUCUCUCAUCUUUUCUUACUUAUUGCCAUUAAACCUGUUACCUCAAAGGUUGCUCAUUAUCUUGAUGCCACAAGUAUUUUGUUUUAUUCUAAUAAUAAACUGAUCACAUAUAUUAGACACAUCUUCAUUUACAGCCUCUGUUCUGUUCAGCCCUCGUGAGUAGAGUAAGAAAUACUAAAGCAGCACUCACAGUUAUCAACAUUUGCUUAUUCAAGAUUUCCCAAGGAAAUAUUAUGAAUAAAUAUCUGUUUACUCAGUUGUAUUGCCUUGAAAUAUAUAAUUCAGUAGUAUUUGGCCCUCCAGUUAUUCAAAGUGCUGUUGGUCAUCUUCUCGCGUGCAUAAGCUUGUCCAAGGUUUUAGGAGGACACAAUAAUUUGGCCUGUUUUGUUUAGACACGUGUUUAUUUUAUUUAUUUUAUUUUUUUUCUGCUUGGAAACCAUUUAUAACAUGUAUAAAUUGUUUUAACCAUUUAUAAAUUAUAUAUUCCAAUUAGUUGAAGACAGUUUGCCAGUUUUUCCGCUCAUGUCUGUUUUUUUUUGUUGUUGUUUUUCGCGACCUCACCUCGACCCCAGUGGUUUCCUGAAAGCAUUUAUUUGUGAGAUGGUCAGAAAUGGCAUCACUUGUGUAAAAAUGAUUAACUCAUUAAAACAGACGCUUUUAAAGAAACACUUCCUUGCAUGCUUUUUGUUGUUGUUGUUUUAGAAGUACAGCACAAGAUGUAAUUCUGUAGGAUUUAUGUCUCUAAUUGGUGUUGCUGGUAUUUCGAUAACAUUUAAUAAAAGGCUGUUAUAACGUG
Molecule: RNA transcript, 2386 nt
Organism: Onychostoma macrolepis
Lineage: Eukaryota; Metazoa; Chordata; Actinopteri; Cypriniformes; Cyprinidae
Gene: plp2b
Gene name: proteolipid protein 2b
Exons: 6
Source: RefSeq, a predicted model, not a curated record